RNAcentral lists this small RNA (286 nucleotides) under Azoarcus sp. KH32C. RNAcentral's name for it is "5' ureB small RNA". It matches the Rfam family "5' ureB small RNA". Lineage: Bacteria; Pseudomonadati; Pseudomonadota; Betaproteobacteria; Rhodocyclales; Zoogloeaceae. The record is from Rfam by way of RNAcentral.
CUUCGUCGAUCUGCUGCGGGCAGAUCCAGUGGAUGUGGCUGUCGAUGCCGCCGGCCGUCAGGAUCAUGCCUUCGCCGGCGAUGAUCUCGGUGCCGGCCCCGAUCGCGAUCGUCACGCCGGGCUGGAUGUCGGGGUUGCCGGCCUUGCCGAUGCCAUUGACGCGGCCGUCCUUGAUCGCGACGUCGGCCUUGACGAUGCCCCAGUGGUCGACGAUCAGCGCGUUGGUGAUCACGGUGUCGGCGACCUCCGCCGCAACCUUCUGCCCCUGCCCCAUGCCAUCGCGGAU